UGGGGAAUAUUGGACAAUGGGGGCAACCCUGAUCCAGCAAUGCCGCGUGUGUGAAGAAGGUCUUCGGAUUGUAAAGCACUUUCGACGGGGACGAUGAUGACGGUACCCGUAGAAGAAGCCCCGGCUAACUUCGUGCCAGCAGCCGCGGUAAUACGAAGGGGGCUAGCGUUGCUCGGAAUGACUGGGCGUAAAGGGCGUGUAGGCGGUUUACACGGUCAGAUGUGAAAUCCCCGGGCUUAACCUGGGAGCUGCAUUUGAUACGUGUAGACUAGAGUGUGAGAGAGGGUUGUGGAAUUCCCAGUGUAGAGGUGAAAUUCGUAGAUAUUGGGAAGAACACCGGUGGCGAAGGCGGCAACCUGGCUCAUGACUGACGCUGAGGCGCGAAAGCGUGGGGAGCAAACAGGAUUAGAUACCCUGGUAGUCCACGCUGUAAACGAUGUGUGCUAGAUGUUGGGCUAACUUUGUUAUUCAGUGUCGCAGUUAACGCGUUAAGCACA
Molecule: ribosomal RNA, 497 nt
Filed under: uncultured bacterium
Lineage: Bacteria
Description: partial 16S ribosomal RNA
Rfam family: Bacterial small subunit ribosomal RNA
Source: RNAcentral